GGUGGCCGCAGAGAAUAGGCCCAAGCGACUGUUUACCAAAAACAUAGGUUUCUGCUAAGUCGCAAGACGAUGUAUAGGAGCUGACGCCUGCCCGGUGCUGGAAGGUUAAGGGGAUCUGUUAGAGCAAUCGAAGCAGUGAACUUAAGCCCCAGUAAACGGCGGCCGUAACUAUAACGGUCCUAAGGUAGCGAAAUUCCUUGUCGGGUAAGUUCCGACCCGCACGAAAGGCGUAACGAUUUGGGCACUGUCUCAACAACAGACUCGGUGAAAUUGUAAUUCCGGUGAAGAUGCCGGAUACCUGCGACAGGACGGAAAGACCCCAUGGAGCUUUACUGUAGCUUGACAUUGGGUCUUGGUACUACAUGUACAGGAUAGGUGGGAGGCUUUGAAACCAGGACGCCAGUUUUGGCGGAGCCAUCCUUGGGAUACCACCCUUGUAGUACUGGGACUCUAACCAUAGGCCAUGAAUCUGGUCUUGGGACACUGUCAGGUGGGCAGUUUGACUGGGGCGGUCGCCUCCCAAAAGGUAACGGAGGCGCUCAAAGGUUCUCUCAGUACGGUCGGAAAUCGUACGUAGAGUGUAAAGGCAAAAGAGAGCUUGAUUGCAAGACAUACAGGUCGAGCAAGGAUGAAAAUCGGACUUAGUGAUCCGGUGGUUCUGCGUGGAAGGGCCAUCGCUCAACGGAUAAAAGCUACCCUGGGGAUAACAGGCUUAUCUCCCCCAAGAGUCCACAUCGACGGGGAGGUUUGGCACCUCGAUGUCGGCUCAUCACAUCCUGGGGCUGUAGUAGGUCCCAAGGGUUGGGCUGUUCGCCCAUUAAAGUGGUACGCGAGCUGGGUUCAGAACGUCGUGAGACAGUUCGGUCCCUAUCCGUCGCAGGCGUAGGAAAUUUGAGAAGACCUGUCCUUAGUACGAGAGGACCGGGAUGGACG
Molecule: ribosomal RNA, 933 nt
Filed under: Clostridioides difficile
Lineage: Bacteria; Bacillati; Bacillota; Clostridia; Peptostreptococcales; Peptostreptococcaceae
Description: partial 23S ribosomal RNA
Rfam family: Bacterial large subunit ribosomal RNA
Source: RNAcentral